CUCGUGAGGGUCCGGCGGAUCGGGGAAUGGAUGAUUGAGUGAAUUGCUUAAUAUAGUACUGGGUCAUUUUUUCUGUACCGGUACAUCUCGGUUUAACGGGCGAAGGGAGGAAUCUAGAUAUAAACAAGCACAUUUUGCGGGCUAUAUUUAGGUAGGUUUGUGCGACUUUCGGUUUGUGCACGAAGUGUUUGAGCAUAUACGGGAGCAUAUUUAUGCGUCGCGUUUCAAAAUUGGUGCCCCGUUACAUUACAGCAUCUCAUCAGUUUAUUGGCUUAAAACUGAUUUGUAUAGUUAUUUUGCGGUUUGCUUUUGAACCUCUUUUUGGACAGAGCGGGUGGGUCGCACAUUUUCUGGUCAGCAUGGUGGCCAACGGCCAUCUUGAUGUCCAAGUCGUCAGGGUCCAUACUGUCGAGCGACUCGAGAUUUGACGUGCGAUGCCUGCAGCAGGAGCUCAUUUGGCUUUUCUUUCUAAUGCUUGAAGGUCUUUUUGACGAAGACGUGGACAAUUUCUUUUUACUUUCUUUGUUAAGGUCGCGGUUGUUGUGAAUGUGCCUUGUGAAUUAGAGUAUGUUGUAUAACACGUGAAGUAUUGUUAAUUCAGUGUGACGAAUGUUGUUCGUUUUUGUAUCAAGUUGUGAUAUUUACGCGGCUCACACGGCAGCGAUUUAUUUAUUUUUUUGUGAGGGGGGACUUGCUGACUAACAGCAACAUGAUAGCGUUAUGGGUUCAGUUCACUUCUGUUUUAUAUGCGGCAACAAAUUCCAAUCGGUUGUUGAAGAGUGUGGCGAAUAAACGGCGGAACUAUGUUGCAAGAUGAGGUUUAUGUCAGCACUGGCAGUGAACCCAAACUUCUUUUUUGUGUCAUGGAUUAUCUCACGCAUUGGCAGGGGGAAUGGUGUCUCUGGUUCGGAAACAUGAUACAACCUAUGGUUUUAACCAAUGUUGGAAUACGGUACAUUUUGAACUACAUCUCCAUUUCAGAUAAUGUACAUGGUUUUCGUUGAAUUAAUGAGGGGAUGCCAUAUUGGGUUUGGUUGAGGCUUUUCCAAAAUGGGUUGAAAAUUGAUAAAAUAGAAUGCAUGUUUCACAUUUUAUUUGAGACACUAUUGCUCCUGCCAUCCACAAUCUGCAGGAUUGGUAGUCAGUCUGAAAGUAUAUGGUUAAAAUUCAAUUGAAGAAAUUGAAUUGAAAUUGAAUUGACUUAUAUGUUAAUAUUACGAGAAUGGUGUUUUCUUCUUUGUUUUCUUCUUUCUUCUCAUAUAAAUUACUGAUAAUUUCUACAAAAUUGUGAACUAGGAAAUGAAGCUGAUUCGGUUGACAAUAUGUGAGAACGUUUAGAAAAAAAAAUGAAUUGAGAUUGCCGUAGGACGAUUGUGCUUUUUCACAGCAGGUUCCAGCAGACAUGGCUCUGAUUCGAAAGAUGAAAAAGAAACAUUGUGCUUCUUUGAAGUGUUGAUGACCACACCGAUUGAUGGACAUUGUAAAAAGGUCAUCUCGAUAGAAAAUCCACUGAGGAAGCUGUCUUGACGUGUGGCUGCUGUUGCAUUCCCUGUAUCAGAGUGCUGCUUAUCCGGCUUAUUACUACAGCUGUCGCGCCCACGACGUCUAAAGUGAAUGAGAUGUAUCCUCUGUUGUUGUUUGAUGGCGGUGAUUCUGAGGUUGAUUAUGCCUCUUCAGGUGAUGACGUGAUUUCGCUUCGGCAUCAGGGGGUCAUGGAUGGUUUUUGUCGUUUUGCUCCCUGCCCCUAGGUGUAACUAUGUUUGCGUGUGUGGCAUGACUCCACUGAUUAAAGUCCGUCGGGAAGGUUCUGUGUGAUGAUACGAGCAAAUGUAUUUUUAGUAAUCAUACAUUCGCGUAUUAUUGGAUUGAUUCUCACGUCGUCAAUUUAUGCUCGCAAAGAAGAAUGCUUCUGCCUGUCAUAAUAGUUUGAUUUUGCUUGCAAAGAAGAACGCUUAUGCUUGCAAUCAUUAAUUGACUAUGCCUGCAAUGAAGAACGCUUCUGCUUUUAAUAAAGAUACAUUCUUUAUGUACUCACAUUUUAUCCAUUAUAUACUCACUUUUAUAAUCAAGAAUGCUUGGUGCACUGUGUGGAAGUUUAGGGACGCAACCACCUUUCCGAGGACGUGGUUGGGAAGAGAUAAGUGUUAAGACUAAACAGUGAGCAAGGGUGAACAGUGAAUGGAGCCAUCAACACCAGCUGCGGCGUGAUGUUUUUGUGACAAUUGCACACAUGUACGUAAUUUGCACUCACA
Hippocampus zosterae (dwarf seahorse) is the source of this 2252-nucleotide long non-coding RNA. RefSeq lists it as uncharacterized. The record is from RefSeq and is a predicted model, not a curated record. The transcript has 2 exons. Lineage: Eukaryota; Metazoa; Chordata; Actinopteri; Syngnathiformes; Syngnathidae.